This 430-nucleotide unclassified non-coding RNA is filed under the name soil metagenome. RNAcentral describes it as "partial contains 5.8S ribosomal RNA, internal transcribed spacer 2, and large subunit ribosomal RNA". The stretch from base 1 to 120 matches the Rfam family "5.8S ribosomal RNA", at positions 35 to 154 of the family's 154-position model. The record is from RNAcentral.
GAUGAAGAACGAAGCGAAAUGCGAUACGUAAUGUGAAUUGCAGAAUUCAGUGAAUCAUCGAAUCUUUGAACGCAUAUUGCGCUCUCUGGUAUUCCGGAGAGCAUGCUUGUUUGAGUAUCAGUAAACACCUCAACUCCCUUUUCUUUUUUGAAAUUGGAGCUGGACUUGAGUGAUCCCAACGCUUUCUUCCAAGAAAGUGGCGGGUUGCUUGAAAUGCAGGUGCAGCUGAACUUUUCUCUGAGCUAUAAGCAUAUCUAUUUAGUCUGCCUAAAAAACAGAUUAUUACCUUUGCUGCAGCUAACAUAAAGGAGACUAGUUCUUGUGCUGACUGAUGCAGGAUUCACAGAGACAGCUUCGGCUGACUUUGUAAACUCGAUCUCAAAUCAAGUAAGACUACCCGCUGAACUUAAGCAUAUCAAUAAGCGGAGGA